UUAACACAUGCAAGUCGAACGGUGAACCAGAGCUUGCUCUGGGAUCGAGUGGCGAACGGGUGAGUAACACGUGGGCAACCUGCCCCAGACUCUGGGAUAACCUCGGGAAACCGAUGCUAAUACCGGAUACGACCACUUCGGACAUCCGACGGUGGUGGAAAGUUUUUCGGUCUGGGAUGGGCCCGCGGCCUAUCAGCUAGUUGGUGGGGUAAUGGCCUACCAAGGCGACGACGGGUAGCCGGCCUGAGAGGGCGACCGGCCACACUGGAACUGAGACACGGUCCAGACUCCUACGGGAGGCAGCAGUGGGGAAUAUUGCACAAUGGGCGAAAAGCCUGAUGCAGCGACGCCGCGUGAGGGACGACGGCCUUCGGGUUGUAAACCCCUUUCAGCAGGGGCGAAGCGAAAGUGACUGUACCUGCAGAAGAAGCACCGGCUAACUACGUG
This 447-nucleotide ribosomal RNA is filed under the name uncultured bacterium. RNAcentral's name for it is "bacterial SSU rRNA". It matches the Rfam family "Bacterial small subunit ribosomal RNA", at positions 48 to 507 of the family's 1533-position model. The record is from RNAcentral.